AGUGAACGCUGGCGGUAGGCCUAACACAUGCAAGUCGAACGGCAGCACAGUAAGAGCUUGCUCUUACGGGUGGCGAGUGGCGGACGGGUGGGGAAUACAUCAGAAUCUACUUUUUCGUGGGGGAUAACGUAGGGAAACUUACGCUAAUACCGCAUACGACCUACGGGUGAAAGCAGGGGAUCUUCGGACCUUGCGCGAUUGAAUGAGCCGAUGUCGGAUUAGCUAGUUGGCGGGGUAAAGGCCCACCAAGGCGACGAUCCGUAGCUGGUCUGAGAGGGUGAUCGGCCACACUGGAACUGAGGCAGGGUCGCGACUCCUACGGGAGGCCGCGGUGGGGAAUCUUAGACAAUGGGGGCAAGCCUGAUCCAGCAAUACCGCGUAGGUGCAGAAGGCCUUCGGGUUGUAAAGCCCUUUUGUUGGGAAAGAAAAGCAGCAGGUUAAUACCCCGCUGUUCUGACGGUACCCAAAGAAUAAGCACCGGCUAACUUCGUG
Molecule: ribosomal RNA, 492 nt
Filed under: uncultured bacterium
Lineage: Bacteria
Description: partial 16S ribosomal RNA
Rfam family: Bacterial small subunit ribosomal RNA
Source: RNAcentral